GGGGCCAUAGCUCAGCUGGGGAGAGCGCCUGCCUUGCAAGCAGGAGGUCAGCGGUUCGAUCCCUUGGCUCCACCA
RNAcentral lists this transfer RNA (75 nucleotides) under Paenibacillus larvae. RNAcentral describes it as "tRNA-Ala". It matches the Rfam family "tRNA". From Rfam's summary of the family: Transfer RNA (tRNA) molecules are approximately 80 nucleotides in length. Their secondary structure includes four short double-helical elements and three loops (D, anti-codon, and T loops). Lineage: Bacteria; Bacillati; Bacillota; Bacilli; Caryophanales; Paenibacillaceae. The record is from RNAcentral.